Equus caballus (horse) is the source of this 3096-nucleotide long non-coding RNA. Lineage: Eukaryota; Metazoa; Chordata; Mammalia; Perissodactyla; Equidae. The record is from Ensembl.
CAGCAGUAGGAUGAUGCGAAAGGAAGUAGCUCUCCUCUCAGGCUGUGGUCAGAGUGCCCAGGGCUCGGUCUGCGCUGGGGUGAGACCACUGAGCUGAUUGUCACCAAUUGGGUGAAUGGAGAAGGCUACCCUGCAUCGCAGCCUUGAAGGCAGGCUCAACGUUCCAUAUGUGAACAUCCUGAUGGUCAGCCUUCUCCCAGGAAUUAGAUCUCUGAUGACAUAGGACAAUAGGAAGACUCUUCUUCCCCUUUUGCUUGGCAUCCGGCAAUGCAGUCAUGGAGGAAAGUUCACACGCUGUUUGGAAGUCAUUUCUGUUUAGCUCAUCAAUAGUUGCCUUAUAAAAACGAUUCCAUGCCUAAGAAGCAUUCUAAGCCUUUUUAAGCUCCAAAGAUUAGGGUGAAACAGGGAGGGGGUGGGAGGAAGACAGAUAAACAAAGGACCAGAGAGCAUUCUCUGUGCAGAGGAGUAGAUUCUGUCCUUUGGUUAGAUUAAUCCCCAAAUUGGAACUGGCCCUGAACAUUGUUCUGAGAAAGGAGAGCCCAGAUAAGAAAGGCCCCUCCACAAAGCCCCUGCAUCGAGCUGUUUGUGGAAAUGCGGACAGCGUCCUUUCCCUGCAGCCAGAGGACAGAAUGACAGGCCCGCAGAGGACAAACGGAGGGUGAGAUUUUCCUCAGGACAGUUGGACGAGUGGGAGAGGGAAGAGGAGAAGCAGCAGUGGCCUCGUGGUGGCUGCUCGAAGGUUCUGUCAAACCACCAAGUUGUUUUUCUGUCUCAGCCUGGGCACCACCAACCUGCCUGUUUUCACACUAUUGAAAGCACGAGCAUUGAGUUCUGCAAAGACUGAGGGGCAGCCCAGGUUGGCUUUGCCUCCAGUCCAGGCAGAAGGACAGGUGCAGAGGACCCUAACACCCACCCGUGGGAGCCAACCCCCUCUCUCUCGGCAGGCCUGGUUUCCAACCCCAGGACCACAGCUCUCUCGGGAGAGUUCGGCUUUGGUUCUGAAGGACUCCGAGUUGACGCUUGAAGGCUGGAGAUUGUCAUCAGAGGGGCUAAUGGGACAUGAGAUCUGAGGUGGGUCCCAACAGGAUUAAUGCAGCUUGACUGCCUUAAUGCUCCAAGACAGUUGAGAGCUUCCAAGAUGACCGCGCUCAUUGGCAGGUGUUGGUGACUUAAAAUAAGUCAUGCAGGUUCAUUGUCACCCCCGUAAAGACUGAACUGCAACGUCUGCAGUUGUCCCGGUGGUCACCUCCACAUCCUCAAAUACUCUGCUUAUACCACCAUUUCUUGCUUUAUCGACCACGCACUUUGUCUACUGACCUUCUACUUGGAGAGACGAGGGUUUGGCUCACCAAGACACUCUCCCAUCUGUCCUCCUUCCUUCUUCCUGACAGGACUGAUGCACAGCUCCUAGUUCCUCUAUUGGUCAUCUUUGUCUAAAUGAUGCCUGCAAAUGCAUUGUUUAAACACAUGUACCAUCUACAUACCCGCACGUGUAUGAAUCUGCAUACUAUCAUGUCUUUCAUCAUUUCUCUUACCAUGUCUUCAUCCAUGUCAUCUCAAAAUAGUUGAAAACACUUGGUCGGAGACUGGAAUUACCAUACACAGCUUUGCAGCUGUCCCACAGACAAGCAAAAAGGAGAGAGCAAAGGCAUGAGGAGCUGGUGUCCCCAGCCCUGGAAACUGGCCCAGAUAAAAUGAAGGAAUCAACGUCCACCCCACUUUUGCUUACACACACAUCUACUACUGGGUGGGCAGAGGCCAAGAGAAAGCCUGGGCACCGAUCAGAAAGCCCUGGAAGCAGGUCAGCACUGGCCUCCUGUUGCCUGCGUGGACUCCCUUCUUUAAUCUUCCCCCUCCACCAGCCAGCCAGCUCCUAGUUGUCAACUGAGUCGACCCCCCGCCCUGUCAUCCCCUCAGCAGUCACCCACAGCAACAUUCCUACCCUUCUAGCGGCUACUCCCAGCUCUGCUUCUCUGCUUCCUGCCUUCCUCAGCCAGUGAUGGAUGCAAGAAAUAUUCACUGAGCACCUCCCUGUGCUUAGACACUGAGAACAUAAGCAUGUACAAGACAGACACGGUCCCUGAACUCUGAGAGGGGGACUUAAGAGGCCAUUGAAAAGGACAGCCAGUAAAUAAAUUAACUACAUAUUGUGGAAGUACCAUAAAGGAUGUGGAGACAGACAAUAAUAGCCUUUCUCUUCUCUGAAAAGAAAUACCACUAGGCAUUUAAGCUGAGACCAGAGAAUAUGAAGGAACCAGGCUUGCAAAGAGCAGCCUGAAGGGAGGUCCAAGAUGAGGAAGGUGACUGUGCAAAGGCCCUGUGGUAGUGAUGGGGAGCAGAGUGUGUUUGGGGAACUGAGAGGAAGCUGUUCAGCUGGAGCUUGGGAGGCGGAGGGGAGAAUGGCCCAAAGUGAGCCUGCUGAAAGGCAAGGGCCAGACUACGCAGGACCUAAUUAGCCAAGUAGAGUUUGGAUUUUAUUCUAAGCAUAAUAGGCAAGUGUCAAAGGAUUUCAGCAGGAAGCAAAAUGACCCCAUUUUUGGCCUUAAGAUGUCCUUUCUGGAGAUGGACUGGAGGCAUUGAUGGGAUUCCUCUCUCCUAACUAGAGGCAUGGACACCCCAUCUUUCUUGGAGAAAGGGGCCCAAAUCCUCUCCAGAUGUUAUCAUCUGUCGCCAGCAAGUCAUUCUGGGAUCUGGGAGGAUGGAAGGUGCUCAACAGAAGAGCCGUUCAAAUCAUGGUGGCUGCUUGGCCACAUUUAACAUGGCGGCUCUCACAUCACAAACCAACAAAGGACGCACCUGCUUCGAGCAUCAUCAUCCCGGGAAAAACUUUGCUGACCUCUAUUCUAGAGAGAACAAAUGAAAGAAGGCUUCCCCCAGGAAGGUGUUCAUUCCUUCUCUGGGUUGGACAUUGGACUCACCGGGCUCAAGUCGCUUUCAGCUCUGAGGGCCUAGGGGCUCAGCAAGAACCAUUCGAUGAGAAGACUUUACUGAUGCCAAGGCCAGUGGGUUUUGCAAAGUUCUUCUCUAUGCCAGCUGCUGCACUGAGCACCUUAUGUUCACGCUCUCACGUACACCUCUCCGUAACGCCGUGAAGUG